AAAGCUGAGGACACACCUUCUGCUUUGCUAUUUGUGGGUAAGGGGAGGGGCUUAUCUUUCAUAUGUAUGGAGUGCAGCUCUUUCUAAACCCUGCAAUAGAAUUACAAUACAUGCAGUAUGCAAAAUUAACGGAUUUAUGUAGUGUAUAAUCUCUUUACUCUUCUUUCAGAUUUUUCUCUAGUUUAGGGGACUGCUUGUACUCAGAAUAUGAAAACAUCACAGAGUUGCUCAAUAACUUUAGCUUUAAGAAAGGUUGCAUGAUUGUUUGUGGCUAUUAGAGAGCAAAGAAAAAUGGUUUAAUAUCAAUGGGUUUAAAGGUCUGUCAAGUUCUAGCAUUCUAGCAAGUUAUUGAUUAAUGGAGAAGAUAAAUAAAUAUUGUUUAAUCUCUAUGAAAUAUGUAGUUCCCCAUCAAAGAUACAAAAUGGUUUUACUACAAAUAAAACAACAACAACAAAAAAACAUAGUUUAACCAUGGUAUUUGUAGUAAAACUCUGGCUAUACAAAUGGUAAUCAGUAUGCCAAAAAACAUGGUUACACUUUUACUGUAGUAAAACCAUGGUUUAAUGUCUUAAGGGACGUAUCUUACCAAUUGUGAAAGAACUAGCUAUACAUGCACAGUUUUCAAUAAUGCACACUAUUCAGUGAGCUCCACCCUCAAAGGUGAAGUUACAAAAUCCAUGAAGUGAUAAAAUACACUAACUGAAAUCAUACAUGAUUAUCACCAGACCCACUCAGAAACUGCACACUCAGAAUACUAUUAAAAAUAACACCACGGGCAAACUGAUGGUCUGCACAUGUGACUGCUGAUUUGUCAGGCGAUGGUGUUAAAGAAUCGCGCUGCUUCUCCUCUAUGACGUAGUUGUUUCAGAAGUUGUUCUGCUUUAUUCAUGUUCUGCAAAGAGUUAGUGUUGCUAAUAUUUUAGUUGCAAGUGGGUCUAAUAUUUGUUGUAGUUCGUCGGUUUGUUAUUAAAAUCAGUGUCCUUGAGAAACAAAUUACAGCACGUAUCUUUUUCGUGAAGAACAUGUCUGCUGGAAACAUGAAGAAAACAGAGGUGUCAGUCGCUGCUACUUUCAUCGGCGGUUUAAUGAGCAGCAGCUAAUGCUCUACUAUGUGAGAUAAGAUGAUGGCAUGGCUGACCUACUCUUCUUUACUGAGUAGCUGUGUCUCAUAGAAUGGCAUCCAGUGUUUUGAUUCGUUUGAAUUGAUCAUUUUCUCCCAGAAAAGCUGACAUCAUCUUUAUAAUUAUCAUUAUAUAUUUUAUAUAUAUUUAUAUUUUUAGUAUGCAUUAAAAUUUAGUAGGCUUUACAUUUUUUUAGUAUGCUUUAAAAUUCAGUAUGAAAGCUAUUGUAUGCAUGUUUCAUCUCAGAGCACUAUCAGCACUACUGGUUUCCUCAAGCUCACUGCAGAGGCUCUGGCUACAGAUAUUAACGGAUAAACCGUAAAAUGGAUGGAAAAGCAGCCUCUGCUGUUGGAUUUACACAAGAGCAGCUUUUCUCAUCACUUCCAGCAGAGCUGACACUGUGGGUGGACCCUUACGAGGUGUCCUAUUGGAUCGGUGAGGAUGGAUCCACUUGUGUUCUCUACAAGUCCUCACCGCUACGGCCUAAAAGUGCCACCUCAGCAGAUACUUCAGCCCACAGGAAGGAGAAACUAAAAACCAGACGAUCGAAUCAGUCUCUGAUAUUAUGAGAGAUUUUGAAAGCCUCCCUCGUAAACUUUGCAGUUCUUUAAAACAUUAAAGAAGAAACUGGAAGAGAAAUCUUGCAUCUUACAUACAUCCACAAGGUAUCUUCACUGUCGGACUCUGUGUGGUUGUUACUCAACUAAUAUAUUAUGCCUGAAACAGGCCAAAACGCUAAAGCCACUCAUUGACUCUCACAUCUGUUGAGUUAUUCACACUCUCUCCAUUAUGCAUCAGUUGACAGAGCUGCAGGCAAACCAUGCAGAAUAAUAUU
Long non-coding RNA from Cyprinus carpio (common carp), 1956 nucleotides. RefSeq lists it as uncharacterized. The record is from RefSeq and is a predicted model, not a curated record. NCBI's taxonomy places the organism in Eukaryota, Metazoa, Chordata, Actinopteri, Cypriniformes, Cyprinidae. The transcript has 3 exons.